AUGAGAAAGUUGCUAUUAUCUCUACAAAUGUAAUUAAUCCUGCCAUAUUCGAUCAAGCUCUGAGAAUUUUUAUUCCACAUGUACCGGCUGGAACAUCUGCUUGGCCAAGCAAAAUUUCUCAGCAACUUCUUUAUUCGGUGAAAUGAGACCAAGGUCAGAGGGACGAGUUCAAUGCCCAAUGGCUGUUUGAGAAAACAAAGGUUAUGGUAAAGUUUGAACCAAUUAGCCAAGCUGAUGGAAGUGCUUUGCUCGUUGUCGAUCAUAUAAAUGGAAGACUUCCUGUUUUAUACCAUGUCCUUUGACUUAGAAUGUGUGCUUGCUUGUUGGUUUCCCAAACUAUUCUUAGUGUGAAUGCAUUGUUUCCUUCAAUUGGAUAAAUUCAUUUCGUGUUAGCCCAAUGGCUAUUGAUGGUUUCAAGGCAUCCCAAUAGCUAUGAUGGUUUUAAGGCAAUCUCGGUAUACAAGUUGAAUGUGGUGUUAAGUUUUGGUGAUGCGCAUUUGCAGCGGUGUUAAGUUUUGGUGGUGCAAGUACCUAUUAAAUCUACGUUUUUCCUGUGUUGUGGCCUCUAAAAACCAUGCCACGACAACGCCCAUAAGCAGCUUUUGUAGAUGUUGUUUUUGAUGUUUCUUUAGUUACUAUAACAAUAUUCUUCUAUUUCCCUUAUUGUAUAUAAAGGUUUGCUAUUAUGUUCA
Long non-coding RNA from Lolium rigidum, 692 nucleotides. RefSeq lists it as uncharacterized. Lineage: Eukaryota; Viridiplantae; Streptophyta; Magnoliopsida; Poales; Poaceae. The transcript has 4 exons. The record is from RefSeq and is a predicted model, not a curated record.